GCGAUGAAGGGCGUGCUAAUCUGCGAUAAGCGCCGGUAAGGUGAUAUGAACCGUUAUAACCGGCGAUACCCGAAUGGGGAAACCCAGUGUGAUUCGUCACACUAUCAUUAACUGAAUCCAUAGGUUAAUGAGGCGAACCGGGGGAACUGAAACAUCUAAGUACCCCGAGGAAAAGAAAUCAACCGAGAUUCCCCCAGUAGCGGCGAGCGAACGGGGAGGAGCCCAGAGCCUGAAUCAGCAUGUGUGUUAGUGGAAGCGUCUGGAAAGGCGCGCGAUACAGGGUGACAGCCCCGUACACAAAAGCGCAUGUGCUGUGAGCUCGAUGAGUAGGGCGGGACACGUGGUAUCCUGUCUGAAUAUGGGGGGACCAUCCUCCAAGGCUAAAUACUCCUGACUGACCGAUAGUGAACCAGUACCGUGAGGGAAAGGCGAAAAGAACCCCGGCGAGGGGAGUGAAAAAGAACCUGAAACCGUGUACGUACAAGCAGUGGGAGCCCCACCACUAAGCCAGUGGUGAACUCCACAUACGCAUCCUUUGCUGAGGAUACGGUUAACGGAGCGAAAGCGACGUUCAACCUCAAAAGAAGCAGAGGGGGCUUAGUGGUGGGGUGACUGCGUACCUUUUGUAUAAUGGGUCAGCGACUUAUAUUCUGUAGCAA
Molecule: ribosomal RNA, 659 nt
Filed under: Salmonella enterica subsp. enterica serovar Veneziana
Lineage: Bacteria; Pseudomonadati; Pseudomonadota; Gammaproteobacteria; Enterobacterales; Enterobacteriaceae
Description: partial 23S ribosomal RNA
Rfam family: Bacterial large subunit ribosomal RNA
Source: RNAcentral